This 1556-nucleotide ribosomal RNA is filed under the name Escherichia coli. Its description in RNAcentral is "bacterial SSU rRNA". It matches the Rfam family "Bacterial small subunit ribosomal RNA". RNAcentral also lists the same sequence under 2 other names. The record is from RNAcentral. Lineage: Bacteria; Pseudomonadati; Pseudomonadota; Gammaproteobacteria; Enterobacterales; Enterobacteriaceae.
UUAAAUUGAAGAGUUUGAUCAUGGCUCAGAUUGAACGCUGGCGGCAGGCCUAACACAUGCAAGUCGAACGGUAACAGGAAUCAGCUUGCUGAUUCGCUGACGAGUGGCGGACGGGUGAGUAAUGUCUGGGAAACUGCCUGAUGGAGGGGGAUAACUACUGGAAACGGUAGCUAAUACCGCAUAACGUCGCAAGACCAAAGAGGGGGACCUUCGGGCCUCUUGCCAUCGGAUGUGCCCAGAUGGGAUUAGCUAGUAGGUGGGGUAACGGCUCACCUAGGCGACGAUCCCUAGCUGGUCUGAGAGGAUGACCAGCCACACUGGAACUGAGACACGGUCCAGACUCCUACGGGAGGCAGCAGUGGGGAAUAUUGCACAAUGGGCGCAAGCCUGAUGCAGCCAUGCCGCGUGUAUGAAGAAGGCCUUCGGGUUGUAAAGUACUUUCAGCGGGGAGGAAGGGAGUAAAGUUAAUACCUUUGCUCAUUGACGUUACCCGCAGAAGAAGCACCGGCUAACUCCGUGCCAGCAGCCGCGGUAAUACGGAGGGUGCAAGCGUUAAUCGGAAUUACUGGGCGUAAAGCGCACGCAGGCGGUUUGUUAAGUCAGAUGUGAAAUCCCCGGGCUCAACCUGGGAACUGCAUCUGAUACUGGCAAGCUUGAGUCUCGUAGAGGGGGGUAGAAUUCCAGGUGUAGCGGUGAAAUGCGUAGAGAUCUGGAGGAAUACCGGUGGCGAAGGCGGCCCCCUGGACGAAGACUGACGCUCAGGUGCGAAAGCGUGGGGAGCAAACAGGAUUAGAUACCCUGGUAGUCCACGCCGUAAACGAUGUCGACUUGGAGGUUGUGCCCUUGAGGCGUGGCUUCCGGAGCUAACGCGUUAAGUCGACCGCCUGGGGAGUACGGCCGCAAGGUUAAAACUCAAAUGAAUUGACGGGGGCCCGCACAAGCGGUGGAGCAUGUGGUUUAAUUCGAUGCAACGCGAAGAACCUUACCUGGUCUUGACAUCCACGGAAGUUUUCAGAGAUGAGAAUGUGCCUUCGGGAACCGUGAGACAGGUGCUGCAUGGCUGUCGUCAGCUCGUGUUGUGAAAUGUUGGGUUAAGUCCCGCAACGAGCGCAACCCUUAUCCUUUGUUGCCAGCGGUCCGGCCGGGAACUCAAAGGAGACUGCCAGUGAUAAACUGGAGGAAGGUGGGGAUGACGUCAAGUCAUCAUGGCCCUUACGACCAGGGCUACACACGUGCUACAAUGGCGCAUACAAAGAGAAGCGACCUCGCGAGAGCAAGCGGACCUCAUAAAGUGCGUCGUAGUCCGGAUUGGAGUCUGCAACUCGACUCCAUGAAGUCGGAAUCGCUAGUAAUCGUGGAUCAGAAUGCCACGGUGAAUACGUUCCCGGGCCUUGUACACACCGCCCGUCACACCAUGGGAGUGGGUUGCAAAAGAAGUAGGUAGCUUAACCUUCGGGAGGGCGCUUACCACUUUGUGAUUCAUGACUGGGGUGAAGUCGUAACAAGGUAACCGUAGGGGAACCUGCGGUUGGAUCACCUCCUUACCUUAAAGAAGC